RNAcentral lists this ribosomal RNA (186 nucleotides) under uncultured bacterium. RNAcentral describes it as "partial 16S ribosomal RNA". It matches the Rfam family "Bacterial small subunit ribosomal RNA", at positions 318 to 500 of the family's 1533-position model. The record is from RNAcentral.
CAUGGGCCUCGGGGGAUCACUACGGGAGGCAGCAGUGGGGAAUAUUGGACAAUGGGCGAAAGCCUGAUCCAGCCAUGCCGCGUGUGUGAAGAAGGUCUUCGGAUUGUAAAGCACUUUAAGUUGGGAGGAAGGGCAGUAACCUAAUACGUUGUGUUUUGCGUUACCGACAGAAUAAGCACCGGCUUC